CCGAACCCACACACCAUGGGCACACCCCUCCUCCCAGCGGCAGCUCUGGACCUGCCUGUGCCCACCCCCGCCGUCGUUCCCCGUAAAUGUGCAGCCAUCCCGCGUCCCCGCGCUGCCGCAGCCCCUCACUCGGGGCCCUCAAAGAGCACGCUUAUAAAAACAUUCUUCCCGUGAUGGAGUGCUUCCUUUGGGCUUCUUCGGCUUGUAACAGAUUAAAGGCGAACAGGCAUUUGUCAUGGGGAAGUGUACCCAGUUGUGCUGGAAAAUGGACUUUUCGAUGAGCGUGAGAGCUUGAACCUGUCACAGAGGGGAGAGCCUGUGUUAUUGCAGCCUGCCGGGCCGCGGUGGCCGCUGCGGCUUAUCGGCUGUGGCAGGCAUCACCUACGACUGCAAGGAUCCCAUUACGGGAAGGGAGCCACCACCCCAGGCUGGGCUAACUCGCAUGAGGACACCACUAACAUUGUCUGCGUUCCAUUUACGUUAGACAGGCAGGUCUACAAUGUUUGAAGUUUACAGAUUUCUUGGAUAUAGCAGUGAAAGGUCCAUUCUGAAGUUGGCUCCAUCCAUCGCCCCUGAUUUGAGAGGCUCAUAACAGAUGAAGAAACUGAGGCUCACAGAAGAAAUGCCUUCCCCAAGCUCCCACAGUUAAGAAGAGAUGGAGCCUGUGUGUGUAACAACUCCACUCACCAUCAUUUUGGGGUUGGGAAGAGAAAUGAAGUCUUCUACAAAUCUCUGAAAAGGCCCUUCUCAGCCACAAAUGGAGGAAACAGCACAAAAAUACAGACAAACAACACAAAAAGGCUGAACAAUAAGCACCAUCUCCAAGAAGCAGAGCAAUUAGGGGAGAAAAUAAAAUAGCUUUUCUCUCUCUGAAAUAAU
This 879-nucleotide long non-coding RNA is filed under the name Homo sapiens (human). RNAcentral describes it as "HSALNT0004984". Lineage: Eukaryota; Metazoa; Chordata; Mammalia; Primates; Hominidae. The record is from RNAcentral.